RNAcentral lists this long non-coding RNA (534 nucleotides) under Numida meleagris (helmeted guineafowl). RNAcentral's name for it is "lncRNA (ENSNMEG00000017508.1)". Lineage: Eukaryota; Metazoa; Chordata; Aves; Galliformes; Numididae. The record is from RNAcentral.
UAUUAAGAUAAAUUAAUUCUAGUAAUCGCUAGAGAGAGAAAGAUUGAAGUACAGGCUAAGGUUAAUAAAGAAAAUUUAGAAAUUUAAUUUUUAACUAUAUAUUUUCUGUUUCUGUCAGGAUUUACAUUUCCCACAAUGCCUAUUUAGUAUAAAUUCCAAAUGGUGGACUGAAUUUAACUGAAGACCAGGAAAAUAGCAGGAAAAGCACAAAUAACUUUUUGCUUUAUUUCCAGAAUCUACAGUUUGCUCUGUAAAAUGAAGUCACAGCUUAUUGAAGAGAUGUGUUGGAAAGAAAACAUAGAACAACACAAAAAAGACUUUCUGUUAAGCUCACUUUGACAGAACUUCUUUCCUCAAAACUUCUAAGGAAACUACGCCAUUUGCUCAAAAUUUAUGAUUUUUGGACCUUUAUUCAGCCCCUCUUGGUCACCUUCUUAUUUUGUGAAGAACAUAAAUCGUCUUAUUGCCAAACAGUUAGUUUGCAUAAAAGUGCUCCUGAAUUUUUUCAGAGGGAUAUGUCCUAAAUUCAUUUGA